Molecule: ribosomal RNA, 497 nt
Filed under: uncultured bacterium
Lineage: Bacteria
Description: partial 16S ribosomal RNA
Rfam family: Bacterial small subunit ribosomal RNA
Source: RNAcentral
GGUGAACGCUGGCGGCGUGCCUAACACAUGCAAGUCGAGCGAACAGACGAUGAGAUUGUUCUCUUGACGUUAGCGGCUGGCGGGCGAGUAACACGUGGAUCACAUUCUUCUAUUUCUGGGAUAAUAACGGAAGACAGGAUACAAUAAUACAUCAUAUAAUCAACCGCAUGGUGCAAUAGAGCAUGACGGCUUUGCCGUUUGAAUUAGCUGGUUUCGGGCUGCAUUAGCUAGUUGGUAAGGUAACGGCCUACCAAGGCGACGAUGCGUAGCUGACCUGAGAGGGUGAUCGGCCACACUGGAACUGAGACACGGUCCAGACUCCUACGGGAGGCAGCAGUGGGGAAUCUUCGGCAAUGGGCGAAAGCCUGACGCAGCAACGCCGCGUGGGUGAUGAAGGCCUUCGGGUCGUAAAGCUCUUUUGUUGGGGAAGAACAGCUGUGGGUUUAACUAUGGACGUCUUGACGGUACCUAAUCAAUAAGCACCGGCUAACUACGUG